Molecule: ribosomal RNA, 279 nt
Filed under: uncultured bacterium
Lineage: Bacteria
Description: partial 16S ribosomal RNA
Rfam family: Bacterial small subunit ribosomal RNA
Source: RNAcentral
UGCCAGCCGCCGCGGUAAUACGGAGGGUGCAAGCGUUAAUCGGAAUUACUGGGCGUAAAGCGCGCGUAGGUGGUCAAGUCAGUCAGAUGUGAAAGCCCUGGGCUCAACCUGGGAACUGCAUCUGAUACUGCUUGACUAGAGUAUGGUAGAGGGGUGUGGAAUUUCCUGUGUAGCGGUGAAAUGCGUAGAUAUAGGAAGGAACACCAGUAGCGAAGGCGACUUACUGGACCAUUACUGACGCUGAGGAGCGAAAGCGUGGGGAGCAAACAGGAUUAGAUA